This 465-nucleotide ribosomal RNA is filed under the name uncultured bacterium. Its description in RNAcentral is "partial 16S ribosomal RNA". It matches the Rfam family "Bacterial small subunit ribosomal RNA", at positions 28 to 507 of the family's 1533-position model. The record is from RNAcentral.
GACGAACGCUGGCGGCGUGCUUAACACAUGCAAGUCGAACGGAAAGGCCCUGCUUGCAGGGUACUCGAGUGGCGAACGGGUGAGUAACACGUGGGUGAUCUGCCCUGCACUUCGGGAUAAGCCUGGGAAACUGGGUCUAAUACCGGAUAGGAGCCCUCCUUAGGGUGAUGGUUGGAAAGUUUUUUCGGUGUGGGAUGAGCUCGCGGCCUAUCAGCUUGUUGGUGGGGUAAUGGCCUACCUAGGCGGCGACGGGUAGCCGGCCUGAGAGGGUGGACGGCCACAUUGGGACUGGGAUACGGGCCAGACUCCUACGGGGGGCAGCAGUGGGGGAUAUUGCACAAUGGGGGCGAGCCUGAUGCAGCGACGCCGCGUGGGGGGUGAAGGGCUUUGGGUUGUAAACUCCUUUCGCUAGGGACGAAGCUUUUUGUGACGGUACCUAGAUAAGAAGCACCGGCUAACUACGUG